AACUCCACGUGGGAGACCUGGCAGAAGAGGGAGGCCGAAAACCCGCUGGAGGGGAGGAGUGAAAGUGACAAUUCUCGCUAGAUUUGUCUAGGAGGCUCUCUCCCAUAGUUCCGCCUUCUUGCACACGGUGGAUGGCGGAGUCGUGACUCCAUGUUGAAGAGGGAAUUUGCUUCGCUAUUGCUUGAGAAUUCGAACGUCACCUCAACCCCCAAAGUGCAAUCCGAUUCGGAGAACUCCUGCCAGUGCCUGCUCAUCCAUUCUAACCAUUCUGAAAAGAAAGGACAAACUCUAUCAAGGCAUCAGAGCAUCGCCUGAUGAUCCAGAGAGUCACAGUUUCUCUCUCAAGUGAAUCCCAAAGAUUCCAACACUCCCAGGAUCAUAAGAUUUCAGUCACAUGCUCCUGUCCAUUAAACCCUUGCAACUCAUAACUACAAAGGUAAUGAAGAUUGUAGGUGGCAGUCAAAGGUAAUUUUUGUCUCUAAAUACAGUACUCUUUCCUCUGUAACACAUUAUUCUGUUAGAGUUAUUGUGAAUAUAAAAUGAGAUACCAAUGUGAAAGAGCUUUUAAAACUUAAAGUGAGAAAUAAAUUCUACUUAUAAAAUAACUGGGCUGCUAGGUGGUACAGUGACUAGAGCACCAGGUUUAGAUUCAGGAAGAUUCAUCUUCUUGAGUUCAAAUCUGGCCUCAGACAUUUCCUAACUGUGUGACCCUGGGCAAGUCACUGAAUCUUGUCUGCCUCAGUUUCCUUAUCUGUAAAAUGAGCUGGAGAAGGAAAUAGCAAAACCACUCCAUUGUCACUGCCAAGACACAAAAUGGGGUCACAAAGAGCCACACUUGAAUGAAACAACUGGAUAACAGCAGAUCAUCAUUGUCUUCUCCUGAGAAGAAUAAGCAAUUUGUGUCCUUAUCUGGCAGCACUCUUACUGCUCUAUGUUAGGACACUGACUCUAAAAUGUCUUUUGGAGGAUGGUCCAGGGGGUACUAAACAAAACCUCUGCCUUCAGGAUGUCACAUUCCCUCUAAAUUAUGGGUUGGAGAAUGGACCAACUCAAAGAGCAUUUUUAAUAGGAAGGAGACAGAGGCGUCCCUGUCCAAGUCACCCUGGCCAAGUUACAAUUCUUGUCAUCCCACAGAUCCUCAUCUCCAUGCCAAAUGCUCUCCAUUUCUGUGCUGUGAACUUUAAAAUUACUCCACCCUACUUAGAUAAAGUUGUAAUCUCCUGAUUGAACAAUGAAAGUACUUAGUUCUCACCUUAUAGUGAAGCUAGAACUUUAAGCUAAGUCUAUUUUUAGAUCUUAAUACAAAAAGGUGUUAAGUAACUAUAAAGGUUAAAUUAAUCACAAAAAGGUCAAGUAACUAACAAAAGGUGAACUUAACAAAGAAGUGUUAGGUAACUCUAAAGAUAUAAUCUAAUCAAAGAAGAUGAGAACUAAAAGUAUGGGCAGUCCUGGAGAAAGUCUUUGAUGUGAGUGGUAGAUUGAAAAUUUAGAGGAGGAAACACAAAGUGAAAGGUCUAUAUAUUUGGUAUUUUUCAUCUCUCCAGGGCUCUUUCCCUCAUUGGCCGUGGAGAGUUAGCUGAGAGCAGUGUGCUGAGCUUUUGGCAUCUUAGCUACAAGCUAUUGUCCAUUUUGGUGGUGAGUUUCUGGCUGAGUUUCCUCCUUUACCUUCCAACUUUAUCCUUUUAGAAGCCUCUAAUCUUCUUCAGAGACAUAGAGGUGGGGAUUUUAAACUCCCCCUGGCAUAGACCAGGCAGGAGAAAUUCGAUAUCCUCUUUCCUCCUUCUCCUUAAAUUUCUUCUCUCUAUAUUAAUUAAAUUACUAUUAAAUUUCCAGACUGACUUGGGUAUUUUAUAUGGUGACCAAUUAAAUCUAGAUUUUUAAAGUCACAACCCUAAAAUCAUCUUUACAGUGCCAUGCCCUAAAUAUUCACAAAGCUUGUGUACACAUAGGCAUGACUGGAGUGAGAUACAGAGAAUAGUGAGAAGCCAUCCUGCGUGUAAGGCUAUUAGAAUAUCCAAUCACUUUUCUUUUCUCAGGGACAUAUAGUUUUCCAACUUUUAACAGAAAAUUACACUGCAGAAUCUGCUCGUGGCAAGGGAUUAUGUGAAAUUUGCAGAGCUAUCAACAGCUAAAUCUCAUUCUUAGGUUGAUCUAUUCCCUUGUUCUCUCAGUGUCUGUUACCUCUGAAUUGCCAAAAGCUCUGUCCAAAAAAGGAAUUCCUCUCUGGAAGAUGCAGCUGCACCAUAUGGAGGGCAAGUGAGCAACUGGUUCUGCUUUGGUCAAGCAAGCAGAUUUGACUCAUAAUGAUCAGUAGAACACUAUUUGUACAUCAUAAUAGGCUUGUGCCUCUCAGAAAGUUUAGCUAUUAAGAAUUUAGUGUAACUCAUAGAAGUAGUUCAAAAGUCAAAUAGAGACUUUUAGUAAAUAAUUAUAAAGGGAAAGAAAUAAAGGAAAGAAAGGGGAAGGGAAGGGAAGUAAUUAGAGUGGGGAGGAAGGAAGACAGAAAGGGAAGAAGGAAAGGAAGGAGGGAAGAAGGAAUGAAGAAAGGGAAUAAGUGAGAGAGGAAAAAAGAUGAAAAAGUAUAAAGAAACUAGAAAAGUUUAUUGACUAAUCCUUCCAAAAUAUCCUAAAAUGUCAAUUCUCCACAAUUUCCUUCUCCUUAUAUGAUUUUAUUUUCAUUUUGAAAUUUUAUUUUUUAAGGAACAAAAUCCAUUUUCUUUACCAUUCAACCCCGUGUCUCAUUAAAACAGAAAGAAAAAACAAGAAAAACAAAUUCUUGUAUUGACCAUGUCCCGAAAAUAUGUAUAUUAAUCUCUAACUUGAGUCUAUCCCCUCUGCCAGAAAGUGGAUAGCAUGUUUCAAUGUCAGAACUCUAAAAUCAUAGUUGAGCACAUUCUAUGAUUAUUGGGUUACAAAUUUUGAGAUGGAGAGGACUUCAGAGGACACCUAAUCCUACCUUCACAUUUUAUAAAUGAGGAAACUGAGAAAUAGAUAUAGUACUGUUUGGCAAUCAGGUUGAUCUAAAUUCAAUCCUUCCAUAGACAUACAACCACUAUAAAUCUCUGGGGCAGAUGAUUUAAUUUCUCUCAGCCUCAGUUUCCACAUCUGUGUCAAACAGUCAUAACAACAAUAACACCUAUAUCAUAGCAUUUUGUGAUGUCCAAAUGAGAAAGUAUAAGUAAAAUUGGGGUCACAAAGAGUUGAACAUGACUGAAAAUGACUGAACAACCACUGCAUGAAUUCUGUUGAACUCGGUUUCCUUCCAUUUGGGUUGACUUUGCUGAUCUGUUGCCUAAGCCUAAGGGAAGUCAACUGCUGCUUACUUAUGGGCUGACUUUCAUACUAUGCUAUCAGGAGGUUCUAUCAAUGAGUAGAGCCUUAGUCCUCUGAACAAAUUGUCUUGAGGGUGGUUUUAAUCUUUUUGUAAUUAAAAAACAAAAUAAAACAAAAACUCUGCAUGGCAGCUUAUUAUUUCUAUUGUAAAAGUCAAGUGAUGCUAGACUGAAGGACCUCACCUGUCUGCCAAAGAAGUUUAAAUUUCAUUUAGUGAGCAAUAAUGAGAAACCUUGGUUAGACUAUUGGGAUGAACAAUGUGAUUAAAAUGCUAAAGAAAGACUCAAUGUCCCCCUUUCUUCCUCCCUAAUGCUCAUAAUGUCCAUUCUCUUUUUUACUUUUUAACGACAUUUUCCUGCAUUUCUGGGAGAAACCAACAGUAUCUUGGGAAUGGCCAGUUCAAGCUUGAUAAGCAUAUUGGGUUUUAUUAGAACUGCAGAGAAUACAGCCCUAUUUCAAAUUUUCAGUGGUUCUUUCAUGGUAGUCUGCUAGGCAACCCAUAUUCAGAAAACACGGGAUGAAAUAGUUCUCCCUGGCAGCUUAUUGAUCCUCCGUAUGCAAUGCUAAAUAUAGAUGGGGCCAAAGUACAGAAGCAAGCUCUGGGUAGCCCCUUACUUGCUAGCUGUCAUUGAUUGGAAUGAUGAGUUCUUUCUGCAUGUUAUUUUGUUCCCACCAAAUCCUUAUCCUUUGUGUAGGGAAAACUGCCAGUGAACACAAGAACAUAUUGAUUCAAAUCACAUAGCUAUGAAAGUGCCUGGGGAUCAGGUGUUAAAAGGAAGCACAUUCCCUUUCCUUUCUUGCCUCCAUAGGCAUUAGGUACAUGACCUAUAUAUGAUUUGGUUUAUCAUAUUGCAUAGAAGCUAUUUUUCUUGGAGACAUGACUUACAUACCUGUUUCAGCCUGUCAGACCAAAUGCAUAAAAGCUUAGGCUCGAGCACUAUUACUAACCAUAUCUGAAAUAGGUUUGAAUCCCUACUUAUCUCAGAGAGAGUCAGACAAUCGCAUGCUAUUAAAAAUAGAUUUAGAAAAAGCUCGUUGUUUUUUACUCAUAUGUUGCUGCAGCCUUUCUUUGUGUCAGAAGGGAGUAAUCAUUUGUGUAAUGCUUUCUGUGCUAAAUGCUUUACAAAUAUUAUUUUGUUUGAUAUGAGACUGAACUUAAUGGAGGCUAAACCAAUUGGUCUCACAGGUUACCUCUUGCCCUUUUCAUUGCUCUAUAUCUUCUCCUUUCUAGAAAACUCUUGUUCAGAAUUCAUUAAAAAUCAGCUUAUCUCUACCUGGAGACAAAACCCAUUAAUUAUCAAAUGAACAAGAUUUUUAAAAGAACCAGAAAUUUCUGAGGAUAAGCUAUAUUGCUGCUCCAGGCAAUGGCGGAGGAAAGGAGGGAUAGAAGUAGAGAAUGGAUUCAUCUACCAGGUUCUGCAAUAUUGGGAAGUUCUCUUGACCUCUAUCACUCCUUAAGUGAACCAGUGAGGCAGAGGAUCUUCUACCUAUUCAUGAUUAGAUACACAAUCUUGGGAAAUAGAGUGUUUUCUUCCACGGGAGCUUUUCCAGGUAUCAAGGAUCACAUAGAACAAAUUCCUUCCUGUUUGUGGAAGGGUUUAAUAAAAUGACUACUAAGAAUAUGUGUGAGUGUUUAAGAUUAAUUUCUACACUCUUAGAGAGGGACCAGAGGAAUAGUCUUGUAACUGGGACCCUUGAAUCCCUACUUUGCAGAUGACUUGCUACAUGGUCUUGGGCAGGUCAUUAAACAUCUAUGAGACUCAGUUUCCUUAUUUGUAAAGGAUGGCAAUGAAAAUUUCCCUGACCAGUUGAAGAAUUGUCAUGAUGAAAGUGCUUUGUAAUUGCUAACAUCCUGCACAAAUAAAUAGCCCCAAAAGAUCUGUGAUCUCACUGAGAAAAGAUGGAAAAGGGCAUUUGUGAAACACCAACUACAUGCCAAGAAAUAUGCUAAGUGUUCUUCAUAGCAACUCGGGGAGGUAGGUAUUAUUAUUAUCCUCAUUGUAUACCUGAGCAAAAUGAGGCAAAUAGAGAUGUAAUGAGUUGCUACAGGUCACACAACUGGUAAGUUUCUAAGGAUGAAUUUGAACUCAGUUUUCCCAAUCCCCAGCCCAGAAAUGUGUAUUGACAUGGCUUCUAAUGAAGCAAAUCCCUCCAUGCCUUCCUUUCCUAUAUAAUACUCCUCCAUGGACUCUAUAACUUUUAAGUAGAGAGGCUAUCCGACAUGUUGAGAGUCUUUCCCCCCUUUUUUGUUGGCAUCACAAAGAUACCAAUAGAAGACAUGGGUUGCCUAAUGGUUAUUCAUCAUUCUUCCCACAUAGCCAGAAGAAGAGAUGAUCUCUCCAAUCACGUGUAACCUCUAAAACAUGGUUUUCCAAGAUUGUGAAUUGCCAAACUGUAAAGAUAAAGGGUCUUGAUUUUAAAUCUAAAAUUAAGUGGUCACCAUGGGAAAAUUCCCAAAUAUGAAAAUACCCAAAUCAGCUAGGUUUUAUGGAGAUUUUAAUUAAUAUAAAUGAAGGAACUAAGGGGAAAGAGAGAGAGAGAGAGAGAGAGAGAGAGAGAGAGAGAGAGAGAGAGAGAGAGAGAGAGAGUAGCCAAGCAGUAGGAAAGGGCCUAGGCCAAAAUGGCCUAGGCCUGAGCCUAAGGUUGAGCGAGUCAGUCUUCAUCACUCACCACAAGAUCGUCUCAAGCAAGCUCCAAUCCUCCACUGAACUCCUGAACACCUGGACUGAGUUCAGAGUCCCAACUGAAUUCAAUUGACCUCCUUUUAAAGAGAUUUUUCUCUUAUGUCACCUCCCCUAAAUUUUCACAUCUACCAAUCAUAGUAGACACUUUUCCCAGGACUGCUCAUUCUUAGUUCUCAUCUUCUUUGGUUCUCAUCUUCUCUGGUUAGAUUAAAACUUCACACCUCUCUUGCUAAGCUUGCCUUUUGUAAGUUGCUUGACCUUUUAGUGAUUAAUUUAACCUUUAUAGGUACUAAGCCCCUUUUUGUAUUAGAUCUAAAAAUAGACCAAGCAUAAGGUUUUAGCUUCACUAUAAGUAUGAGUUAGGGACUUUCAUUGUUCCAUCAGGAGUUCACAACUUUAUCUUCCCCUAAGGCACUGUCUGAGUAGGGUGGAGUAAUUUUAAAAGUUCACAAUAUAUUCCUGAUCAAGUACCUCCAUCGUUACAAUAGGGGAAUUUGCUCAACCAAAUCUUCUAAGGUACGGUCUGAGCAGUUUUAAGAUUCACACAUGUGCCCAAUAGACCUGUGAAAUACCUUGUAGUAAUCAGAAGCAACUCUGUGCCCAUUAGAACAAUGGUGAGCCAUUUUUCAUGUAUAGCAAAAGCCUUAGAGCACAAACAUAAGACCUUGGGCAGAAGAUCUGACCCUUUUAAUUUCAGGGUGAAAUUCACUGUAGGAGGCAAAGCCUAAGACCCUCAGCAAAGCUGAGGACCAUAGAACAGCUGAUGCUGGUCGCAUAACUCACCCCUCACCCUCAGCCAUCCUCCUCACCCUACAAAAUCACUGAUAUAUGCAUUUCCUUGGGAAUCUAAAUUAGACUAUUACAUGUCGAUUUAUAAUCUUAUAGAAUCCAUUGUAUAUCCUAGAGGAGGUAAACAAGAAUACAUGGUAUCACUUUACCAAUCAUUUACUUUCAUUGUGUAUGUGAAAGCUUGUGCAAAGACCCCAGCUUGUUUUGCCCUCUCUACAAAAUAGUAGCUAUUCCCAAUAAACCUCUCCCCUGCAGCUAUCAGCCUCAGUGAUCCUCCAGAUCCCAUUUGUCUUUCAUCAUCCUUCUCACAGCCUUCCAAGACCCCUGACUCAUUUGUUGAGCAGGUUGCAACACUUUGACAUUCCCUUAGCUUGUCUGAAUCUCAGUUUCCUCAUCUGCAAAAUGAAGGGUUUGGAGUAGAUGAUAUAUUCAGUCUCUUUUCACCCUGUAUCUAUAUGAACAUAUUUAUUAUAGUGUCAUUCUCAGUCACCGAGAGACUACCACUAUACUAUACUAUAUUAUAUAUUAUACACUGACUUAAAUAUCAUCUCUGUGUAUUUUAUGUAUAUAGAUAUAACUAUGCUCUAUCGAUCAUUCAUUUUUUUAUGUCAUGGGUGCUAUGGAGUCAUACGAAAAACAAAACAAAAUAGAACAAUUCUGAGCAGUAGGCUAUGAGAGCAUCAAGAAGCAAUAGCAAGAAGAGACUAAAUGUCAGAUGAGACUGUGUCCCUAGAAAAACUACAGAACAUGCAAAAUUAGUGAGAGAAAAAUCAUGAGAUAUCAAUAGAUGUGUAGUGUCAGAUACAUGAUUUUCCCUUCCAUGCCUGUGUCCUGGCCAUGCAUGUAUCUCUCCAAAUUUGUUCCCUACAUAUGCCCACUGUUCCUACUGAUUGUGUGUGUAUUUGGGGGGGGGGGUAAGUAAGAUCAGAAUUAUUAGGGAAAUCAUCCAUUGUUUCUUUUCUUUCAAUGCUAUUUCUAUUUCUUUAAAUGCUUUUAAUUUGGACUAAAAUGGCUACUUAGUAAACUUUAACACAUUGAUGGGGGCUCAUCAAUUAUAGUUUGGAAUAGAAAAGCUGUGGAGUAUCCUCAAUCUUGGGCAGCUUUUUUCAAAGUCACCUAAAGGUGACUUGGAACACAUUUGUGGGGGUUGCCCUUCAAAGUACCAUUUGGGUGCUAUUUCCUUUUUUCCAUUUGAAUUAAUUUAUUUAGUUAAUUUAGAACAUUAUUCCUUGGUUACAAUAAUCACAUUAUUUCCCUCCCUCUCCUCCACCCACCCUUCCUGCAACCCAACCGAUGCACAAUUUCAUUGGGUAUUUCUUGCGUCCUUGAUCAGAACCUAUUUCCAUGUUGUUGAUGUUUGCACUAGGAUCUUCAUUCAGAGUCUAUAUCCCCAACCAUAUCCCUUCGACCCAUGUAUUCAAGCAGUUGUUUUUCUUCUUUUUUUUACUCCCACGGUGUUUCCUCUGAAUGUGGAUAGUGGUUUUUCUCAUAGAUUCCUCCAAGUUGUUCAGGGUCACUGCAUUCAUUGCCACUAAUGGAGAAGUCCAUUACAUUCGAUUGUACCACAGUUUAUCAGUCUCUAUGUGCAAUGUUUUCCUGAUUCUGCUCCUCUCACUCUGCAUCACUUCCUGGAGGUCGUUCCAGUCUCCAUGGAAUUCCUUCACUUUAUUAUUCCUUUGAACACAAUAGUAUUCCAUCACCAACAGAUACCACAAUUUGUUCAGCCAUUCCCAAAUUGAAGGACAUCCCCUCAUUUUCCAAUUUUUUGCCACCACAAAGAGCACAGCUAUGAAUAUUUUUGUACAAGGUCUUUUUCCUUAUUGUCUCUGGGGUACAAACCCAGCAGUGUUAUGGAUGGAUCAAAGGGCAAACAGCCUUUUAGUGCCCUUUGGGCAAAGUUCCAAAUUACCUUCCAGAAUGGUUGGAUCAAUUCACAACUCCACCAGCAAUGAAUUAAUGUCCCCACUUUGCCACAUCCCCUCCAGCAUUCAUUACUUUGCAUAGCUGUCAUGUUAGCCAAUCUGCUAGGUGUGAGGUGAUACCUCAGAGUUGUUUUGAUUUGCAUUUCUCUGAUUAUAAGAGAUUGAGAACACUUUUUCAUGUGCUUAUUAAUAGUUUUGAUUUCUUUAACUUAAAAUUGCCUAUUCAUGUCCCUUACCCAUUUAUCAAUUGGAGAAUGGCUUGAUUUUUUGUACAAUUUGUUUAGCUCUUUAUAAAUUUGAGUAAUUAGACCUUUGUCAGAGAUUUUUGUAAUUAAGAUUGUUUCCCAAUUUGUUGCUUCUCUUCUAAUUUUGGAUGCAUUAGUUUUGUUUGUACAAACCCAUUUUAAUUUGAUGUAAUAAAAAUCAUUGAUUUUAUAUUAUGUGAUUUUUUUCUAGCUCUUGCUUGGUUUUAAAGUCUUUCCUUUCCCAAAGAUCUGACAAGUAUACUAUUCUGUGUUCGCCUAAUUUGCUUAUAGUUUCCUUCUUUAUAUUCAGAUCAUUCACCCAUUCUGAGCUUAUUUUGGUGUAGGGUGUGAGAUACUGAUCCAAAUCUAAUCUCUCCCAUACUGGCUUCUAAUUUUCCCAGCAGUUUUUAUCAAAUAGUGGGUUUUGGUCCCCAAAACUGGGAUCUUUGGGCUUAUCAUAGACUAGUCGUCUUGCCGAGGUCAUUUACCCCAAGUCUAUUGCACUGAUUCUCCUUUCUGUCUCUUAGCCAGUACCAAAUUGUUUUGAUGACCACUGCUUUAUAAUAUAGUUUGAGAUCUGGGACUGCAAGUCCUCCGUCCUUUGCUUUUUUUUUUCAUGAUUUCCCUGGAUAUCCUUGAUCUUUUGUUCUUCCAAAUGAACUUUGUUAUGUUUUUUUUUCUAAUUCAGUAAUAAAGUUUUUUUGGUAGUUCAAUGGGUAUGGCACUAAAUAAGUAAAUUAAUUUGGGUUGGAUUGUCAUUUUUAUUAUGUUAGCUCAUCCUACCCAUGAGCAAUCAAUGUUUUUCCAAUUGUUUAGAUCUAGUUUUAAUUGUGUGGAGAGUGUUUUGUAGUUGUAUUCAUAUAGUUCCUGUGUUUGUCUCAGCAGAUAGAUUCCUAAGUAUUUUAUAUUGUCUAGGGUGAUUUUAAAUGGAAUUUCUCUUUCUAAUUCUUGCUGCUGAAAUGGUUUAGAGAUAUAUAGAAAUGCUGAUGACUUAUGCAGGUUUAUUUUGUAUCCUGAAACUUUGCUAAAGAUGUUGAUUAUUUCGACAAGCUUUUUGGUUGAUUCUCUAGGAUUCUUUAAGUAGAGCAUCAUAUCAUUGGCAAAGAGUGAUAGCUUGGUCUCCUCAUUGCCAAUUUUAAUACCUUCAAUUUUUUUUUCUUCUCUAAUUGCUACUGCUAGUGUUUCUACUACAAUGUUAAAUAAUAGAAGUGAUAAUGGGUAUCCUUGUUUCACUCCUGAUCUUAUUGGGAAGGCUUCUAGUUUAUUCCCAUUGCAGAUGAUGUUUGCUGAUGGUUUUAGAUAUUUACUGUUUAUUAUUUUUAGGAAAGGCCCUUCUAUUCCUAUACUUUCUAGUAUUUUCAACAGGAAUUGUUGUAUUAUCAAAGGGCUUUUCUGCAUCUAUUGAGAUAAUCAUGUGAUUUUUGUCAGUUUGCUUGUUAAUAUGGUCAAUUAUGUGGAUGGUUUUCCUAAUAUUGAACCAUCCUUGCAUUCCUGGUAUGAAUCCUACAUGGUCAUAGUGAAUAAUCCUUGUGAUGACUUGCUGGAGUGUUUUUGUUAGUAUCCUAUUUAAGAUUUUUGUAUCUAUAUUCAUUAAGGAGAUUGUUCUAUAGUUUUCUUUCUCUGUUAUUGACCUUCCUGGCUUUGGAAUAAGUACCAUAUUUGUGUCAUAGAAUGAAUUUGGUAGAACUCCUUUAUUUAUUCUGCCAAAUAGUUUGUAUAAUAUUGGGAUUAAUUGUUCUUUGCAUGUUUGCUAGAAUUCAUUUGUGAAUCGAUCUGGACCUGGGGAUUUUUUCUUAGGGAGUUAUUUGAUGGUGUGUUCAAUUUCUUUUUCUGAUAUGGGGUUGUUUAGGUAAUCUAUUUCUUCCUCUGUUAGUUUAGGCAAUUUAUAUUUUUGUAAGUAUUCAUCCAUAUCACCUAGAUUGUCAUAUUUGUUGUCAUAUAAUUGGGCAAAAUAGUUUUUAAUGUUUGCCUUCAUUUCCUCUUCAUUAGAGAUGAGGUCUCCCUUUUCAUCUUGGAUACUGUCAAUUUGGUUUUCUUCUUUCCUUUUUUUAAUUAGACUGACUAGUACUUUGUCUAUUUUAUUUGUUUUUUCAAAGUACCAGCUUCUAGCCUUAUUUAUUAAAUCAAUAGUUCUUUGACUUUCAAUUUCCUUAAUUUCUCCUUUGAUUUUUAGGAUCUCUAAUUUAGUCUUCAUCUGAGUAUUUUUAAUUUGUUCACUUUCUAGUUUUUUAAUUUGCAUGCCCAAUUCAUUGACCUCUGCCCUCCCUAAUUUGUUAAUAUAUGAACUCAAGGAUAUAAAUUUCCCCCUGAGUACUGCUUUGGCUGCAUCCCAUAGGUUUUGAAAGGAUGUCUCAUCAUUGUCAUUUUCUUCAAUGAAAUUAUUAAUUGUUUCUUAAUGUGUUCUUUAACCGGUUUUGGAGAAUCAUAUUGUUUAAUUUCCAAUUAAUUUUUGAUUUACCUCUCCAUGUACCCUUACUAAUUAUUAUUUUCAUUGCGUUGUGACCUGAGAAGGUUGCAUUUAUUAUUUCUGCUCUUUUGCACUUGUUUGCAAUAUUUUUAUGCCUUAAUACAUGGUCAAUUUUUUUGAAUGUACCAUGUGCUGCUGAAAAAAAGGUGUAUUCCUUUUUAUCCCUAUUUAUUUUCCUCCACAUAUCUACUAACUCAAAUUUUUCUAAGAUUUCAUUCACUUCUCUUACCUCAUUCUUCUUUAUUUUUUGGUUUGAUUUAUCUAAUUCGAAUAGAAAAAGGUUCAGGUCUCCCACUAGUAUAGUUUUUCUAUCUAUUUCGUCCUUGAGCUCCUCUAGUUUCUCCUUUAGAAAUUUGGAUGCUAUGCCAUUUGAUGAAUACAUGUUGAGUACUGAUAUUUCCUCAUUGUCUAUACUGCCUUUUAUCAGGAUGUAAUUACCUUCCCUGUCUCUUUUAACUAGAUUUAGUUUUUCCUUUGGCUUUGUCAGAUAUCAUGAUUGCAACUCCUGCCUUCUUUUUGUCAGUUGAUGCCCAAUAGAUUUGGCUCCAUCCUCUUACUUUUACCCUAUGCAUAUCUACCUUCCUCAUGUGUAUUUCUUGUAGAUAGUAUAUGAUAGGGUUUUGGAUUCUAAUGCACUUUGCUAUUGCUUGUGUUUUAUGGGUGAGUUCAUUCCAUUCACAUUCAGAGUUAUGACGACCAGCUAUAUAUUUCCCAGAAUUUUGAUUUCUACUCCUAGUCCUGCCUUUUCUUCUUUCACUGUUUCCUUCUACCUUAAUGCUUGUUUUUAAUCAGUCACCCUAGUUCCCACCUUUAUUUUACUUCCCUUUCUUCCUCCCACCCUUCUUAUUCCCCCUCCCCUUAUUUUCUUUUCAGUCUUUUUAAAACUACUCCCCACCCUCUCCCUCCCUUAUACUGCUUCCCUCACCACCAGUCCAUUUGUUACGCUUCUAUUCCCCUAUAGGGUGCAAAUUUAUUCUCUGCCCCAAUGGAUUGGAUUGUUCUUCCCUCUUUGGGUCAAUUUCAAUUCACAUAACAGUUGAGUAUUUCCUAUCUCCAACCUCUUUACCCUUCCAGUGUAUUGAUGUUCUCCCCCCUCCCACCAUGAGCUUCUUUGUGACAUAUAAA
Monodelphis domestica (gray short-tailed opossum) is the source of this 12565-nucleotide long non-coding RNA. RefSeq lists it as uncharacterized. The record is from RefSeq and is a predicted model, not a curated record. NCBI's taxonomy places the organism in Eukaryota, Metazoa, Chordata, Mammalia, Didelphimorphia, Didelphidae.